GCAGGUGGGUGGGUAGAAGAAAGAAGCAAAGGCAACAACACAAGUCUUUUUCCAAGGAGUGGUGGGAAAUAAGCAAUGGAAAAGCUGUCCUCAGAGAUGUGGUGAGGGUGGGGAGGAACAAAGCAGGCAUGGGGAUGGAGAACCCUAUCCUGCUACACACCAUGGAUGCCCAUAGACUGGGACCUGGAGCAGUGGUUCUGAGACUCACGAGGAGGUGAGUGAGGACUUGGAAGUCUGCCUCUGAGUGGUGGAUGAGGCUUACUGUGUUAAGAGAGAACAUAUAUGGGGGCCACUAUGGGCAGUAGUCAGGGAUUGUAAUGACACAGCCUCCCUCCACCUUACCAAUCUGUGCAUCUGGGCUUUCUUUGUAGAUGAUGGAACUGGCCAAGCUCUUAUCUACAGUGAGUGUCCUUUCUGCCUUUUAAAAUUCUUGGAUUUC
RNAcentral lists this long non-coding RNA (439 nucleotides) under Sus scrofa (pig). Its description in RNAcentral is "lncRNA (ENSSSCG00030067751.1)". The record is from RNAcentral. Lineage: Eukaryota; Metazoa; Chordata; Mammalia; Artiodactyla; Suidae.